GGGGAAUAUUGCACAAUGGGGGGAACCCUGAUGCAGCCAUGCCGCGUGAAUGAAGAAGGCCUUCGGGUUGUAAAGUUCUUUCGGUGACGAGGAAGGUUGAUAGGUUAAUAGUCUAUCAAAUUGACGUUAAUCACAGAAGAAGCACCGGCUAACUCCGUGCCAGCAGCCGCGGUAAUACGGGGGGUGCAAGCGUUAAUCGGAAUAACUGGGCGUAAAGGGCACGCAGGCGGUGACUUAAGUGAGAUGUGAAAGCCCCGAGCUUAACUUGGGAAUUGCAUUUCAUACUGGGUCGCUAGAGUACUUUAGGGAGGGGUAGAAUUCCACGUGUAGCGGUGAAAUGCGUAGAGAUGUGGAGGAAUACCGAAGGCGAAGGCAGCCCCUUGGGAAUGUACUGACGCUCAUGUGCGAAAGCGUGGGGAGCAAACAGGAUUAGAUACCCUGGUAGUCCACGCUGUAAACGAUGUCGAUUUGGGGAUUGGGCUUUGAGCUUGGUGCCCGUAGCUAACGUGAUAAAUCGACCGCCUGGGGAGUACGGCCGCAAGGUUA
RNAcentral lists this ribosomal RNA (546 nucleotides) under uncultured bacterium. Its description in RNAcentral is "bacterial SSU rRNA". It matches the Rfam family "Bacterial small subunit ribosomal RNA", at positions 356 to 896 of the family's 1533-position model. The record is from RNAcentral.